RNAcentral lists this ribosomal RNA (253 nucleotides) under uncultured bacterium. Its description in RNAcentral is "partial 16S ribosomal RNA". It matches the Rfam family "Bacterial small subunit ribosomal RNA", at positions 524 to 776 of the family's 1533-position model. The record is from RNAcentral.
UACGGAGGGGGCUAGCGUUGUUCGGAAUUACUGGGCGUAAAGCGCGCGUAGGCGGUUUUGUAAGUCGGGUGUGAAAUCCCCAAGCUUAACUUGGGAACUGCAUUCGAGACUGCAUAGCUAGAGUAUGGGAGAGGGAAGUGGAAUUUCAGGUGUAGCGGUGAAAUGCGUAGAUAUCUGAAGGAACAUCAGUGGCGAAAGCGACUUCCUGGACCAAUACUGACGCUCAUGUGCGAAAGCGUGGGGAGCAAACAGG